Molecule: long non-coding RNA, 521 nt
Organism: Saccostrea cuccullata (small rock oyster)
Lineage: Eukaryota; Metazoa; Mollusca; Bivalvia; Ostreida; Ostreidae
Exons: 3
Source: RefSeq, a predicted model, not a curated record
GAAGUAGAGAUGACCAGAAAUAGUGGAGGACGCCAGGUUAAUGAGGAGAGAUGUCAAGAACUAGAAACAAGACUCAAUUAUUACAAAAACAAGGUUAAUGAGUUGGAGCAGCGAGUUACUAUUCUCCAAAACAGAAGCAAUAGUCCUUAAGAAGGAAAGAGACAGCCUUACAUCUUGUCACUGAAGAUUCUCUGUCCUUAGUCUGUGUUGGACAAACUUGACAUUACUUGUUAGAGCUUUCAAUGAAGUGCUUUACAAUAUGAUAGUACACUGGAAGAUGUACCCAUUCUGUAUACAUAAACUGUACCGGUGAUAACAUGAAAAUUUCAUUAAGCAUUAGACAGUUGUACAUGACACUUACAAACUUUACUGAAGUUCAGAUAUAAAUAUUGUCAUUUUUUAGAAUUUUUUUUUUUAGAAUAAGAAUUGGCAGCUGAAAAUGUCUAUAAAAACCUUACAUAAGAAGAACAAAUAUUUCUGUGAUACAUCUUCAUGUAUAUAUAUAUGCAAGUACAAAAUUG